GCUUCAGGGUAGUGUGUAAUUCAUGACCGGCGGUAAAGUCCGCUAACCUCAUUAAGAGGCCGAUCCGGUGCAAUUCCGGAACCGACGGUAAAGUCCGGAUGAAAGAAGC
Molecule: non-coding RNA, 109 nt
Filed under: bovine gut metagenome
Also listed under: 1 other name
Description: FMN riboswitch (RFN element)
Rfam family: FMN riboswitch aptamer (RFN element)
About the family: The RFN element is a highly conserved domain that is found frequently in the 5'-untranslated regions of prokaryotic mRNAs that encode for flavin mononucleotide (FMN) biosynthesis and transport proteins. This element is a metabolite-dependent riboswitch that directly binds FMN in the absence of proteins. In Bacillus subtilis, the riboswitch most likely controls gene expression by causing premature transcription termination within the 5' untranslated region of the ribDEAHT operon and precluding access to the ribosome-binding site of ypaA mRNA.
Source: RNAcentral